RNAcentral lists this ribosomal RNA (498 nucleotides) under uncultured bacterium. RNAcentral's name for it is "partial 16S ribosomal RNA". It matches the Rfam family "Bacterial small subunit ribosomal RNA", at positions 29 to 523 of the family's 1533-position model. The record is from RNAcentral.
AUUGAACGCUGGCGGCAUGCCUUACACAUGCAAGUCGAACGGUAACGCGGGGCAACCUGGCGACGAGUGGCGAACGGGUGAGUAAUACAUCGGAACGUGCCCAGUAGUGGGGGAUAGCCCGGCGAAAGCCGGAUUAAUACCGCAUACGACCUACGGGUGAAAGCGGGGGAUCGCAAGACCUCGCGCUAUUGGAGCGGCCGAUGUCAGAUUAGCUAGUUGGUGGGGUAAAGGCCUACCAAGGCGACGAUCUGUAGCUGGUCUGAGAGGACGACCAGCCACACUGGGACUGAGACACGGCCCAGACUCCUACGGGAGGCAGCAGUGGGGAAUUUUGGACAAUGGGGGCAACCCUGAUCCAGCCAUGCCGCGUGCGGGAAGAAGGCCUUCGGGUUGUAAACCGCUUUUGUCGGGGAAGAAACGGUCUGCGCUAAUACCGCGGACUAAUGACGGUACCCGAAGAAUAAGAGGUUGCUAACUCUGUGCCAGCAGCCGCCGUAA